UGAUGGCAAUAAAGGGUUGAAAGC
This 24-nucleotide non-coding RNA is filed under the name Mus musculus (house mouse). Lineage: Eukaryota; Metazoa; Chordata; Mammalia; Rodentia; Muridae. The record is from RNAcentral.